RNAcentral lists this long non-coding RNA (229 nucleotides) under Lathyrus oleraceus (garden pea). Its description in RNAcentral is "Pisum sativum (pea) long non-coding RNA (PSAT_LNC017004)". The record is from RNAcentral. Lineage: Eukaryota; Viridiplantae; Streptophyta; Magnoliopsida; Fabales; Fabaceae.
AUUUGUGUGUCUUACUAGUUGCAUCUAUAACUAGUAAUUCUGUUUUUGUUGCACAUAUUUAGGGGGAGGAGAAGUACCUUUGUGCAUGUGUGCAUUACUAGUAACUAUAGCUAGUAAUUAUGUUGCUUCUGCUGCUGUUUAAAUUGUUAUUUAACUGCUGAUAGUUUUCUUGUGAACAAAAAGGAUAGAUAUAUGUUUUAGCCAAAAUUUGCCAAAGGGGGAGUUUGUU